GACGUAGGGGACGAGCGUUGUCCGGAUUCAUUGGGCGUAAAGCGCGCGUAGGCGGCCAUGCAAGUCGGUUGUGAAAUCCCUGGGCUCAACCCAGGAACUGCGUCCGAUACUGGUUGGCUUGAAUCCGGGAGAGGGAUGUGGAAUUCCAGGUGUAGCGGUGAAAUGCGUAGAUAUCUGGAGGAACACCGGUGGCGAAGGCGACAUCCUGGACCGGUAUUGACGCUGAGGCGCGAAAGCCAGGGGAGCAAACGGG
Molecule: ribosomal RNA, 253 nt
Filed under: uncultured bacterium
Lineage: Bacteria
Description: partial 16S ribosomal RNA
Rfam family: Bacterial small subunit ribosomal RNA
Source: RNAcentral